Long non-coding RNA from Trichoplusia ni (cabbage looper), 218 nucleotides. RefSeq lists it as uncharacterized. Lineage: Eukaryota; Metazoa; Arthropoda; Insecta; Lepidoptera; Noctuidae. The record is from RefSeq and is a predicted model, not a curated record. The transcript is spliced from 2 exons.
UAUUGAGAUACAAUUCGUGUGUAACACUCGAAGUACUCACAACUCUGAUCACGAUGUAUUACGCGAAGGUUUUCUUGCUCGCCUUGCUGGCUGUGUCCAUGCUGAUGGGCGUCAAGGCUGAAUCCGAACCUGAUCCUCGGUUUGGAAAGGCAGGAAAACGGUGAAUUACGUCUUUGACUACCAACUCCACAUUAUAUGAAGAUUGAACCAGGAAAGAA